UUGCAGUUUCAAGUGUAGACUUCUGCCUACUAAGUAGCAGUACUCUGCUUUUGUAAAGUAUGAAGAAAGCCCAUCUCUAGUGAAGGAAAGAUGGCUGACAAGAGAAAACUACAGGGUGAGAUUGAUCGGUGUCUGAAAAAGGUUUCAGAAGGUGUUGAGCAGUUUGAAGACAUCUGGCAAAAGGUA
Nanorana parkeri is the source of this 186-nucleotide long non-coding RNA. RefSeq lists it as uncharacterized. The record is from RefSeq and is a predicted model, not a curated record. Lineage: Eukaryota; Metazoa; Chordata; Amphibia; Anura; Dicroglossidae. The transcript has 3 exons.